GCAUAUCAAUAAGCGGAGGAAAAGAAACUAACAAGGAUUCCCCUAGAAGCGGCGAGCGAAGCGGGAAGAGCUCAAAUUUGUAAUCUGGCGUCCUCCGGGCGUCCGAGUUGUAAUCUAUAGAGACGUUUUCCGUGCCGGACCGUGUCCAAGUCCCUUGGAACAGGGUAUCAAAGAGGGUGACAAUCCCGUACUUGACACGACGACCGGUGCUCUGUGAUACGUUUUCUACGAGUCGAGUUGUUUGGGAAUGCAGCUCAAAAUGGGUGGUAAAUUCCAUCUAAAGCUAAAUAUAGGCGAGAGACCGAUAGCGAACAAGUACCGUGAGGGAAAGAUGAAAAGCACUUUGGAAAGAGAGUUAAACAGUAUGUGAAAUUGUUGAAAGGGAAACGAUUGAAGUCAGUCAUGUCCAUUGGAUUCAGCUGGUUCUGCCAGUGUAUUUCCUUUGGACGGGUCAACAUCAGUUUGAGCCGGCGGAUAAUGGCAGAGGGAAUGUGGCACCCCCGGGUGUGUUAUAGCCCUUUGUCGCAUACGUCGGCCCAGACUGAGGAAUGCAGCUCGCCUUUAUGGCCGGGGUUCGCCCACGUACGAGCUUAGGAUGUUGGCAUAAUGGCUU
RNAcentral lists this ribosomal RNA (613 nucleotides) under Saitozyma flava. Its description in RNAcentral is "eukaryotic LSU rRNA". It matches the Rfam family "Eukaryotic large subunit ribosomal RNA", at positions 38 to 640 of the family's 3401-position model. Lineage: Eukaryota; Fungi; Basidiomycota; Tremellomycetes; Tremellales; Trimorphomycetaceae. The record is from RNAcentral.